Taeniopygia guttata (zebra finch) is the source of this 1668-nucleotide long non-coding RNA. The record is from Ensembl. Lineage: Eukaryota; Metazoa; Chordata; Aves; Passeriformes; Estrildidae.
UAACAAAUUCUUGGUAUGGCUUUCUUUUUUUUUUCUUUUCUUUUCUUUCUUUUUUUUUUAAUAUUGGAAAGCCACUUAGGAAUCCACAAAGUCAAAAGCUUGCUUGUAAAAAUUUCUAGUUCCUUAACUCUAGUGCUUGUAAGUUGCAAAUGCUGUUUUUAGAAUAACUGCUGUUAAUAAGCAAGCUUUUCCAAUCAGUUUUGAAUGGAAUAUUGAAACAUGAAAGAUAAACUGUAGUUACAUUAGUUUUAUUAUUCUUAUAAUUUUCUGUUCCCUGUGUGUUCUAAGAGGCAGAUUAUAAUCUGUUAAGAAAGGCUGAUGCUUCAGUCUAGAAGAAACCUCUUUUAGAUGAGAAGGGAAAGAUGCCUGAGGUGUUUGAUGUGGGAACCUCUGUCAUACUGUGUUAUCUGGAAAUAAGAAUGGAAAGUCAAUGAGAUUCAGCAGUUACUACCAUAGAAACUAGAGAGACAGAAAAGGAAGAAUCCUGCCAGAUGCAGUCUUGGGUAUCGUAGAAAAUCCCCUCAUUUGAAUCCAAAUCCUAUUUGCAUUGUGUUCAAUAGCAAAAUUCCAACAUAACAGCAGAUUUGGAAGGGACCUUAUCAGAGCCUUAUUUCAUAGCCUGUGACAAUAAAUCAUCUUCCUUAAAACAGUUUUCAUGCAUUUCUGUAUGACCUCAAAACUUCUCCUAUAACUACAAAACAACAAAGAGAUAUUUACUGUGCAAGGGCUAAUGUAAGGCAACUGUAAAAGUGAUCUGCCUGAAAUGUUUUAUUUUGCUGGGCUGUGCAGUUCAGUUUGGUGUUUCAAGAGUCACAGCAAUUCUGCAGAUUCAUGGCUUCCCUGAGAGCUGUGAUGGCAAACCCUUGCACUGCUCCGCUCUCAUUGCAGUGGCUGGGCCUGUGUCCAGUACUUGAUAACCAAGUUAUCUCACAAAGUGAUACAAAACCCCUUUUGAUUUAAUGAAAGAGGACAUUCUUCUGUCAGUUGGUAGAAUUUAAAAGUCCACAGGUUCUGGAUCCAAGAAGACACUUAGGGGUUCUUUUAUCUCUGAGCAUGCAGCCUGGGCAAGUCACAGACUCUUGCAGCCCCAUUGACAUCCCCAGGACUCAGCACUGGUGCAUAUCUCCAAGGUUUAUUGGUGCUUUCAGGAGGUUUAAAUUAAAACCAGCCAUUCAAACAAGAUAUUCUCAGUUCCAGUUUCAUGAGCCACACUUCAUCUUUAUUACCUGUGAGUGUUUCUUCCUAUGUGUUGCCUGUAUCUCCUGAUAGCGAUGAACUGUAAUUCACUUUGAGAGAGUUGAGAAUAUAAUUUCAUCACUUGGGCAUACUAUUUCCCCUGAAUGCCAUGCUAGGAAUGUAUUAAUAUCUCUUUUAUAUGCCAGAGGAAUGUGGAAUAUGCAUACUGGCAGUGUGUUUGGAGCCCAAGGGAGGGCAAGUGAGGAGAGGCUGGGCUGAUGGAAAUGCUGUUCCCUGCGGGAGUUAGGAGUGGUGGAAUUUGCUGUGCCACGCUUUCAUACUGAGCCUCUUCUCUGCUUUGCCAGUGGCAUCCCUACACAAUGUUAUAUCAGCUAUUCCCGGCCCUUCACCGACACCACCCUCUUUUGUGUGACCUUAGGUCAACCCUGGGCAAAAUACAAGGAACUGGAUGAUGCAGUUUCUUCCUGAGCU